GAUGAACGCUGGCGGCGUGCUUAACACAUGCAAGUCGAACGGAAAGGCCCUGCUUUUGUGGGGUGCUCGAGUGGCGAACGGGUGAGUAACACGUGAGUAACCUGCCCUUGACUUUGGGAUAACUUCAGGAAACUGGGGCUAAUACCGGAUAGGAGCUCCUGCUGCAUGGUGGGGGUUGGAAAGUUUCGGCGGUUGGGGAUGGACUCGCGGCUUAUCAGCUUGUUGGUGGGGUAGUGGCUUACCAAGGCUUUGACGGGUAGCCGGCCUGAGAGGGUGACCGGCCACAGUGGGACUGAGGUACGGCCCAGACUCCUACGGGAGGCAGCAGUGGGGAAUAUUGCACAAUGGGCGGAAGCCUGAUGCAGCAACGCCGCGUGCGGGAUGACGGCCUUCGGGUUGUAAACCGCUUUCGCCUGUGACGAAGCGUGAGUGACGGUAAUGGGUAAAGAAGCACCGGCUAACUACGU
Molecule: ribosomal RNA, 467 nt
Filed under: uncultured bacterium
Lineage: Bacteria
Description: partial 16S ribosomal RNA
Rfam family: Bacterial small subunit ribosomal RNA
Source: RNAcentral